UACGUAGGGGGCUAGCGUUGUCCGGAAUCAUUGGGCGUAAAGCGCGCGUAGGCGGCCCGGUAAGUCCGCUGUAAAAGUCAAAGGCUCAACCUUUGAAUGUCAGUGGAUACUGCCGGGCUAGAGUCCGGAAGAGGAGAAUGGAAUUCCUGGUGUAGCGGUGAAAUGCGCAGAUAUCAGGAAGAACACCCGUGGCGAAGGCGGCACUCUGGGCCGAUUCUGACACUGAGGAGCGAAAGCCAGGGGAGCAAACGGG
This 253-nucleotide ribosomal RNA is filed under the name uncultured bacterium. RNAcentral describes it as "partial 16S ribosomal RNA". It matches the Rfam family "Bacterial small subunit ribosomal RNA", at positions 524 to 776 of the family's 1533-position model. The record is from RNAcentral.